This 1355-nucleotide long non-coding RNA is filed under the name Capra hircus (goat). RNAcentral's name for it is "lncRNA (ENSCHIG00000001185.1)". Lineage: Eukaryota; Metazoa; Chordata; Mammalia; Artiodactyla; Bovidae. The record is from RNAcentral.
GCGGGACUUCCGGGCGGCCUGCGGCCGGGGCAGAGACACGGCCCGCUUGGUCUAGUUUGCUGUGCGGGAGUCAGCUCCUCCAAGACGCAAGGCCGCCCUGGGCCAGCUUGAGGAAGAGCUCGAUUGUAUCAGCACGUCUCAGUAUCUCUGCUUCUACCCUUCCUCCCUCUGAGAGCCCGGCGAGAGCGAAGCUAUGUCACUGUCUGAGCCUCAGUGAGGGCAGUGGGUGCGUCCCUGGCGGUCCCCUUUGGGUGUCAGAGAGGACCCCCACAUCAUGGGAGCAGGACCACGGCGACUGGGAGGCAGGGCUUUGCUUUCUGCUCUUCCGCCUGCGCUCCUGCUAGACCUCAACACACAGGUUCACCCUUGCAAGGGCUCGCUACAAGUACAGCGAAAAGGAGGUUCUUGAUGGGGUGGCAGGUGCUCAAGCCUCAGUGGGGUGUGACAAUAAACAGAUUUGCCGUUGCUUCACCAAUGCCGCAUUGUCCAGUGAGACGGAUCGCAGCACUGCUCACAAGGACCCUCUCUGAAGACGCGUUUUGCCAGCCCUUGGAGGCCAUGCCAUUUUGCUCAUCCACAGGCUCUUGGGCAUGGUUUUAUGAGAUGGUUCAUCACGAAGCUUCCAUCAGGUUCCGCCCAGCUGCUUCCACUGGCCCUUGUAACCAAGGCCAGAAAACCCCUGCUGUCUCUUUCACCUGCCUCAUCACAUCGCUUUUCUGAUGGACACACACAUGCUCGAAUGGGGAGAAGGAGACGUAUUGCCAUCAAGAUUAACCAAUACAAAGAUGAUACUAGCUAUCUGCUCUGGGCUUCCCGGGUGGCUCAGCAGGCUGUCCAUCGAGCCGCAGCUCCGAAACCUGUUCCGUUACCACCACUGCUGAAGUCGCGUCAGGAACAUCUAAUGGAGCCAGCUUUCCUUCCCCACACUCACCCCACCCCUACUUCUCUCCCUGAUCUCCAUCCAAGCUCUGCCGGGUCUCUCUGCGUUUUCAUCCUAUUGUCUGAAUCCCUUGCUGCUGGGUCUUCAUUUUUCAGAAUUAGAAUAUUCUGCCUUCUCUCAAGUCCUGUCCUCAGGGCUGGCUACCUAACUUGCGGGGCUGGGAAAAAAUAAAAAUAGGGGCCCCUUAUUCAGAAAACAGGGAAAGGAGUACAGGUAAAAAUGAAACCUGUGAAAUAGUUUAUUGCUCAUCAAAUGCAACAAGGCCGUAGUGGCAUUACUUAAUCACGGCAUGGCGCAGUGCGACACAGCCUGAGAAGGGCAGGGCCGCCUGCAGGCGAGGCCUCCCUGCCCUCCUGAAGCCAGCAUCGCUGCUCUCCAUACAGCCGUCACCGCCAAUCCGGGUCCAGGCCCCCAG